CCUACGGGAGGCAGCAGUGAGGAAUAUUGGUCAAUGGACGCAAGUCUGAACCAGCCAUGCCGCGUGAAGGACGACGGCCUUAUGAGGUGUAAACUGUUUUUGCACGAGGGUAAACGCAUAUACGCGUAUCUGUCUGAAAGUAUCGUACGAAAAUGCAUCGGCUAACCCCGUGCCAGCAGCCGCGGUAAUACGGAGGAGGCGAGGGUUAGCCGGAUUUAUGGGGUUUAAGGGGUGCGCAGGCGGCGUUGUAUGUCAGCGGUCAAAUGGCGGGGCACAACCCCGUACGGCCAGUGAUACUGCAUCCCUUGAGUGCGCGAGAAGUAUGCAGAAUGCGUGGUGUAGCGGUGAAAUGCAUAGAUAGCACGAAGAACUCCGAUUGCGAAGGCAGCAUACCGGCGCGCAACUGACGCUCAUGCACGAAAGCGUGGGUAUCGAACAGGAUUAGAUACCCUGGUAGUC
This 459-nucleotide ribosomal RNA is filed under the name uncultured bacterium. RNAcentral's name for it is "partial 16S ribosomal RNA". It matches the Rfam family "Bacterial small subunit ribosomal RNA", at positions 338 to 795 of the family's 1533-position model. The record is from RNAcentral.